AUUGAACGCUGGCGGCAGGCCUAACACAUGCAAGUCGAACGGUAACAGGAAGCAGCUUGCUGCUUCGCUGACGAGUGGCGGACGGGUGAGUAAUGUCUGGGAAGCUGCCUGAUGGAGGGGGAUAACUACUGGAAACGGUAGCUAAUACCGCAUAAUGUCGCAAGACCAAAGAGGGGGACCUUCGGGCCUCUUGCCAUCGGAUGUGCCCAGAUGGGAUUAGCUUGUUGGUGGGGUAACGGCUCACCAAGGUGACGAUCCCUAGCUGGUCUGAGAGGAUGACCAGCCACACUGGGACUGAGACACGGUCCAGACUCCUACGGGAGGCAGCAGUGGGGAAUAUUGCACAAUGGGCGCAAGCCUGAUGCAGCCAUGCCGCGUGUAUGAAGAAGGCCUUCGGGUUGUAAAGUACUUUCAGCGGGGAGGAAGGGAGUAAAGUUAAUACCUUUGCUCAUUGACGUUACCCGCAGAAGAAGCACCGGCUAACUCCGUG
Molecule: ribosomal RNA, 490 nt
Filed under: uncultured bacterium
Lineage: Bacteria
Description: partial 16S ribosomal RNA
Rfam family: Bacterial small subunit ribosomal RNA
Source: RNAcentral